GUGUAUGUGGUGUAAUUAACACCCUAGCUUUUCAUGCUAGUAUUAUAUAUUUAUAUUAUACACA
RNAcentral lists this transfer RNA (64 nucleotides) under Lumbricus rubellus (humus earthworm). RNAcentral describes it as "tRNA-Glu". The record is from RNAcentral. Lineage: Eukaryota; Metazoa; Annelida; Clitellata; Crassiclitellata; Lumbricidae.